This 395-nucleotide ribosomal RNA is filed under the name uncultured bacterium. RNAcentral describes it as "partial 16S ribosomal RNA". It matches the Rfam family "Bacterial small subunit ribosomal RNA", at positions 523 to 918 of the family's 1533-position model. The record is from RNAcentral.
AUACGUAGGGGGCGAGCGUUGUCCGGAAUGAUUGGGCGUAAAGGGCGCGUAGGCGGCCCGGUAAGUCUGGAGUGAAAGUCCUGUUUUUAAGAUGGGAAUUGCUUUGGAUACUGUCGGGCUUGAGUGCAGGAGAGGUAAGUGGAAUUCCCAGUGUAGCGGUGAAAUGCGUAGAGAUUGGGAGGAACACCAGUGGCGAAGGCGACUUACUGGACUGUAACGGACGCUGAGGCGCGAAAGCCAGGGGAGCGAACGGGAGUAGAUACCCCGGUAGUCCUGGCCGUAAACGAUGAAUGCUAGGUGUGGGUGUCGAGAGGCAUCCGUGCCGGAGUUAACGCGAUAAGCAUUCCGCCUGGGGAGUACGGUCGCAAGAUUGAAACUUAAAGGAAUUGACGGGG